Molecule: small RNA, 1009 nt
Filed under: Oryza sativa Japonica Group (Japanese rice)
Lineage: Eukaryota; Viridiplantae; Streptophyta; Magnoliopsida; Poales; Poaceae
Description: sRNA Os01g0216951
Source: RNAcentral
GAGGAUGGGCGGAUGCGCGUACGGGCCGUGCAGCCAGCCGGCGGAGAUGCGGGCGUAGGCCGCCUCCGUGAGGUGGAUGCCGUCCCAGCUGAUGAACGCCGCCGGGUCCGGGCACGCUGCCGCGCCGGGGAGCCCGCACGCCGCCGUCGCGUCGUAGUUGUACGGCCCGCCGCCGGCGCCGCAGCACGCGCGUAGCGUCGACGAGCCGUUGAAUCCUGCAGCGUCAUCGAUCACCGGCUUGUAGUAGUCGGCGUAGACGAUCUUCACCCAAGGGUACCUGUGCCUCAGCCGCGACACCGCCUCGAACAGCGCCGAGUUGUGGUAGCGCGCGAGCGCGUUCUGCUUCUUCAGGCAGCCGCGCGCGUCGUAGUCGCCUCUGCUCUUGCUCGCGUACAGCGUCAGGAUGAUGGGCACGCAGCCGUUGGGCAGCUCCCCCGGCACCACCACGUAUCUCGCUCCUUCCUUUAUCACCGCCUGAAUGACAAUAUUAUUCAUGGCUUGGACGACUUUUGGCACGUAGGGGACAAGUUCCUCGAGGGUUUUUCCGGCGGCCAAGAUGAAGACGUAGUCGUUGCCACCAAACUCUCCCAUGAAGAAGAACAACAAAAAUACGUACCUUGGGCUGUUUGGCACAAGGUUGGCUUGAGCUUCUGGAACCACUCCAGCUGCACGCUCAGGGAGAUGUUCAACGGGGGCACGUUGGUGAUGUUGUUCUUGAGGAAGAAGGCGAGAUCAAGAGCGCUGGCACCGACGACGGCGAAGUUAGCGCCAUGGGUGAAGUUCUGACGACCUUGGCCAAGAAACGGUGGUACGAACGGCACAUGAAACUCGUCAGCUGCAAAUCCAUGAUGAUGCGGCCAUUGGUAGCACGGCCGGUGGGGUGGCCGAAGAAGGUCUCGCCGUAGGGGAGGUUGUUGAAAGGCAUGAUGGGAAGCAGCGGCGCGGCCAGCUCGACGAAGUUGCCGGUGUCGGCGAACGAGUUGCCGAAGCUGAAGACGGAGUCGAUCUU